Long non-coding RNA from Sinocyclocheilus anshuiensis, 294 nucleotides. RefSeq lists it as uncharacterized. The record is from RefSeq and is a predicted model, not a curated record. NCBI's taxonomy places the organism in Eukaryota, Metazoa, Chordata, Actinopteri, Cypriniformes, Cyprinidae. The transcript is spliced from 3 exons.
UUGGCGAAAGAGAUGGCGGUCUCGUUCAUUGUCGGAUGUUCUUGGAGAGGUGUAGCUUGAAGAUGUCAAUCCCGCUCUGCCGCUGGACUAGCGUGGAAUGCCGGCUGAUUCGAAAUGGCCGAAUGAGAAGUUGAGAAGAGAUUUUUAAAAGGUUCGUCUCGCGAGAGCUUACGUAUCUAACGCUUCUAUGAUUUGAUUGGACCGUCGACUAAACGUCAGCUUCCAGGAGGCGGGGCCAUUUAUGAUGAUGACGGAGAUGAAUGGCUCAAAGUUAGAAAGAUUCAAAGGGGAAGG